CUUGGUCAUUUAGAGGAAGUAAAAGUCGUAACAAGGUUUCCGUAGGUGAACCUGCGGAAGGAUCAUUAACGAGUUUUGAGGUUGUGCUGGUUCUCACAAGUGCACGCUUCUUCAUUCAAUUCACACCCAUCGUGCACCAUUAGAGGCGUAGCAGUUUCCCCCCGUUUACGUGCCGCGAGGCUAUGGGGUUCUCUCGUCUAUUUCACACACACAAAAACGUAUAGAAUGUAAUCGCAGCAAUGCGGAAAAUAUAACUUUCAACAACGGAUCUCUUGGUUCUCGCAUCGAUGAAGAACGCAGCGAAAUGCGAUAAGUAAUGUGAAUUGCAGAAUUCAGUGAAUCAUCGAAUCUUUGAACGCACCUUGCGCCCCUUGGUAUUCCGAGGGGCAUGCCUGUUCGAGUGUCAUGAAACUCUCAAACCGCAUCUUUAUUGAUGUCUGGCUUGGAUUUGGACGUUGCUGGGUUAACGCUCGGCUCGUCUCAAAAGCAUUAGCUGACUCUCUUGAUCUUCAGUUUUUCGGUGUGAUAACUAUCUACGCCGGAGCCGCAAGGCGCUGUGGUCAACAUCCGGGUCGCUUCUAAUCGUCCUAGGACAAAAUUUCAUCGCAUUUGGCCUCGAAUCAGGUAGGACUACCCGCUGAACUUAAGCAUAUCAAUAAGCGGAGGAAAAGAAACUAACAAGGAUUCCCCUAGUAACGGCGAGUGAAGCGGGAAAAGCUCAAAUUUUGAAUCUGGCGGCCUCAGGUCGUCCGAGUUGUAAUCUAGAGAAGUGUUAUCUGUGCUGGACCGCAUGUAAGUCCCCUGGAACGGGGCGUCAUAGAGGGUGAGAAUCCCGUCUUUAAUGCGGACUACCAGUGCUCUACGAUGCGCUCUCAAAGAGUCGAGUUGUUUGGGAAUGCAGCUCAAAAAGGGUGGUAAAUUCCAUCUAAAGCUAAAUAUUGGCGAGAGACCGAUAGCGAACAAGUACCGUGAGGGAAAGAUGAAAAGCACUUUGGAAAGAGAGUCAAACAGUACGUGAAAUUGUUGAAAGGGAAACGAUUGAAGUCAGUCGCGUCUGCCGGGAUUCAGCCUUGCUUCUGCUCGGUGCAUUUCCUGGUUUGACGGGUCAGCAUCGAUUUCGACCGUCGGACAAGGGUCGGAGGAAUGUGGCAUCUUCGGGUGUGUUAUAGCCUCUGGUCGUACGCGUCGGUUGGGAUCGAGGAACUCAGCAUGCCUUUAUGGUCGGGGUUCGCCCACGUAACAUGCUUAGGAUGUUGGCAUAAUGGCUUUAAACGACCCGUCUUGAAACACGGACC
Molecule: ribosomal RNA, 1295 nt
Filed under: uncultured fungus
Lineage: Eukaryota; Fungi
Description: eukaryotic LSU rRNA
Rfam family: Eukaryotic large subunit ribosomal RNA (bases 611-1295)
Source: RNAcentral